Molecule: unclassified non-coding RNA, 305 nt
Filed under: plant metagenome
Description: partial contains 5.8S ribosomal RNA, internal transcribed spacer 2, and large subunit ribosomal RNA
Rfam family: 5.8S ribosomal RNA (bases 1-105)
Source: RNAcentral
GAAAUGCGAUAAGUAAUGUGAAUUGCAGAAUUCAGUGAAUCAUCGAAUCUUUGAACGCACAUUGCGCCCGCCAGUAUUCUGGCGGGCAUGCCUGUUCGAGCGUCAUUUCAACCAUCAAGCCCCCGGCUUGUGUUGGGGACCUGCGGCUGCCCGCAGGCCCUGAAAAACAGUGGCGGGCUCGCUGUCACACCGAGCGUAGUAGCAUACAUUCUCGCUCAGGGCGUGCUGCGGGUUCCGGCCGUUAAACGACCUUCAUAAACCAAGGUUGACCUCGGAUCAGGUAGGAAGACCCGCUGAACUUAAGC